This 492-nucleotide ribosomal RNA is filed under the name uncultured bacterium. RNAcentral's name for it is "partial 16S ribosomal RNA". It matches the Rfam family "Bacterial small subunit ribosomal RNA", at positions 29 to 507 of the family's 1533-position model. The record is from RNAcentral.
AGUGAACGCUGGCGGUAGGCCUAACACAUGCAAGUCGAACGGCAGCACAGUAAGAGCUUGCUCUUACGGGUGGCGAGUGGCGGACGGGUGAGGAAUACAUCGGAAUCUACUUUUUCGUGGGGGAUAACGUAGGGAAACUUACGCUAAUACCGCAUACGACCUACGGGUGAAAGCAGGGGAUCUUCGGACCUUUCGCGAUUGAAUGAGCCGAUGUCGGAUUAGCUAGUUGGCGGGGUAAAGGCCCACCAAGGCGACGAUCCGUAGCUGGUCUGAGAGGAUGAUCAGCCACACUGGAACUGAGACACGGUCCAGACUCCUACGGGAGGCAGCAGUGGGGAAUAUUGGACAAUGGGCGCAAGCCUGAUCCAGCCAUGCCGCGUGGGUGAAGAAGGCCUUCGGGUUGUAAAGCCCUUUUGUCGGGAAAGAAAAGCAGCAGGUUAAUACCCCGCUGUUCUGACGGUACCCAAAGAAUAAGCACCGGCUAACUUCGUG